Molecule: ribosomal RNA, 359 nt
Filed under: Matsumuraiella radiopicta
Lineage: Eukaryota; Metazoa; Arthropoda; Insecta; Psocodea; Dasydemellidae
Description: partial 12S rRNA
Source: RNAcentral
CCCUAUUAUAACUAAGUUAUAUUUAUGACCUAAGGUAGUAAAUGUUAUAAUCAUUAAACUUAAAGAAUUUGGCGGUGUUUAUUCUUACCAGAGGAAUAUGUUUUUUAAUUGAUUUUCCCCAACUAUCUUACUUAAAUUUUUCUUGUAUACCUCCGUCUUAAAAAAUUUUUUUAAAAUAUGUUUUGAUUUCUUUGAAGAAAUAAGUCAGGUCAAGGCGCAGUUUAUAUUUAAGUUAAAAUGUAUUACAAUAAAUUUAUUUUUGGACUUAAAAUUUAAAAUUUAAUUUAAUUAAACUGGAUUUGGUAGUAAAUUUAUUUUUAAUAUAUUUAAUUGAAUGAUGAAAGUAAGCAUGUACACAU